RNAcentral lists this long non-coding RNA (1206 nucleotides) under Nicotiana benthamiana. RNAcentral describes it as "long non-coding RNA (NBEN_LNC002888)". The record is from RNAcentral. Lineage: Eukaryota; Viridiplantae; Streptophyta; Magnoliopsida; Solanales; Solanaceae.
AUUAAUUUAAUAUAUUAAGAACUUUGAUGUGUAAUGGAUGAGAUGAUUGAGAAUGACUAAGACUUAUUUUAUCUUAAUUUUUAUUGACACCAGUAGGUCAGAGAUUCGAGCCGUGAAUACAACCAAUUAUAUGUAUUAAGGUAGGUUGUAUACAUUAUAUCCUUGUGAUGUGGACCUUUUUCGAAUCCUACACGAAAACAAAAUGCUUUGUGCCUUAAGAUUUUUUUUCUGCCUAAUUCUACGCUAAAAGUGAAAGAAUGACUUGACUUGUCUUCAGGGGCGGCCCAACAAAUUUCGUGGCCUAAAGCCAAAUUUUAUGAGGAGCCUUAAUUUUAUUUUUUAAAAGUAUUUAUUUAUUUAUUUGAAGUGUAUUUUUCUAACUUCUUCUUAAUAAUUUUCUUAUGAUCAAUAACUCCUAAUAAGUUUUUUUUAAUAUAGUAAUUAUUUAACCUUUUUUGAGACAUUGGUGAUUUUACGUAAGAUUUUAUAAAUUUUAGUUUUGAAAACUCUUUACGCUGAAGUGACGGUAACAAGAGUUAUUAACAUUAUUCCAUAAGCAAUAUAGGCAUUAGAAAAAGAAUCAAACCUUUUAAUUGGCCGAGUGUAUAAAUUAAACUACUAUCUUCUAAUUGCACUAUUUUCCUUAAUACUUUUAAUUUCGAAAAUAAUUAUCAAAUUGAUUAUUAUUCUUUAAAGAAUAUUUAGGAUUAAGGUAAUAUUUUUUCAAAUUUUCAUUAUGUAGUGAUCAUAAUUUUUAUCGCUAAAUAGAAAACUGUAGCAACCCAGCCCGCUAGUGAUAUUAUCCGAUCUGGGCCUGUGCCCUCACAGGUUUAAAACGUACCACUAGGGUCUAAGGCUUUUUAACUUAUAUACCCAGUAUCCCUCUUGUGUUUUCCCGAUGUGGGUCUUUGUCUAUAGUCUGGGACCCCCUCUUAUGGAAUCAACGUCCUCACUGAGGUUUGCCCCACCGCAUGAGAUUCGCCUAGAUUCACCACUAAACUCUGAUCUGACCAAAGGCUGUAAAUUUGGCGGUUCCGAACCGCGGACCGGAACCGCGGCCUGCCGGUUCCGGCGGCCCGGUUCCGGCGGUAGCGGUUUCCGGGAACCGUGGCAGGGCGGUUCUACCCGUUGGAACCGCUAGAACCAGAACUGCCAGAACCGGAAACCGGAACCGGACCGGUUUUGGCGGUUCCAAACGGUUCUGCC